UACGUAGGGUGCGAGCGUUGCCCGGAUUUAUUGGGCGUAAAGGGCGCGUAGGCGGCCACGCACGUCCGUUGUGAAAUCGCCCGGCUCAACUGGGCGGGGUCGGCGGAUACGGCGUGGCUGGAGCAAGCUAGGGGGCAAUGGAAUUCCCGGUGUAGUGGUGGAAUGCGUAGAUAUCGGGAGGAACACCAGUGGCGAAGGCGGUUGCCUGGAGCUUUGCUGACGCUGAUGCGCGAAAGCGUGGGGAGCAAACAGG
This 253-nucleotide ribosomal RNA is filed under the name uncultured bacterium. RNAcentral describes it as "partial 16S ribosomal RNA". It matches the Rfam family "Bacterial small subunit ribosomal RNA", at positions 524 to 776 of the family's 1533-position model. The record is from RNAcentral.